CUCCAGGCUCUGAGCUGUCAUCAGCACAGAGCCCAACUCGGGGCUCGAACCCAUGAACUGUGAGAUCAUGACCUGAGCCGAAGUCAGACGCUCAACUGACUGAGCCACUCAGGUGCCCCUAAGUGUGUUAUUUUUAAUGUAAAAUGAUUAACUCCAUAUGUGUUUGUUUUCUAAUCUGUUACCAUAUAUAGACAUCUGAAUGAAAAUAAAACUUCUGUGCUUAUGAAUAUUUAUUUUAUUCUAAGACCUUUUUAAAAAUUUCCAGUGUUUGCUUAUAUUUGUAUGUUAUGUGAUAAUCAGAAACAAAAGUCAAAAAUGUUCAACUCAGUAGCCAAUAAUAAAUUAUGAACAUUUUUUGGAAGAAAAUUAACCUAUAAAUUAAGGUAUAAAUCAGUAUUUUUUUUGAACAGAAGUUUGGCCAUAAUAAUUGAAAUUCAAACAUUUGAAAUGGUGUUACUUGCUGCUGGGAAUUUAUUCCACAUCUCAAAUUUACACUGAAGUAUGUUAUACAUUGAGUAUAAAUAAUAGUCGAGCAUCUGAAAUAUACCUCAACAAAAGAUCAUAAUGGUUGUAGCUUAUUCAUCAUAUGAAUAUAAUUUAGACACUGGAACAUGGUCUGAUAAGGGUGUUUUGUGUGGAUAUUUAAAAUUAUGCCAGUUUUUGAACAAACAUCAACUAAUAGUGUGUUUACAGAGGUUUGACCAUAUGCCUCGUUCUAAUUGGAAAUGUCAAUCAUUACUGUUCCUGAGGAAUGUAAUUAUUCUGACAUGAUUAUAGAGUUAAGUAAUGCUGACUGAUCAGUGUUAUAAUGAAUAUUUUAGCAUUCUUAAAAAUUUUGUACAUGUGUACAUUAAGUAGUAAAAUACUGUCUUAUUAUUUGUAUAUUGCUACUUGACAAUCUGAAAUGAACAUACUAAUUGUUAGAAAGGUGUCUGGAAGAAUGGAUGGCAAAAUUUUAACAUUACUGUAUAGAGAGAUGGGAAUGGAGGACUGCUUCUACUUCCUGCAUUUUGAAUUUUAAAGGUAUUUCAAAAGGAACAUCUAAACAGCAAAAAGGGGAUUUUAAAGAUACACCCAAUUUAUGCCUGCCUUUCAUCCUUGCCUAUCAAUAUCUGGCGAGUAUUGGGCUGUUGUAUCCAAUUUUGUAUUCCCAGUGGCCAUUAUGAAUUGUUUGUGAGUGAUCAUGAAGAGCAUGUGGUUUAGAGACUCUAGUGAAGCAGAGAGUUUUACACACUGAAAAAGCAUUGUGGGACUCCAGAAAUGAACAUGGGAGAAGAUAGGAUUUCAGGUAGGUGCUAAACAAUUAUAUUUGGGUUUACAAACGCAUGAAUGAUUAAAAUAAAUCAUUGAAACUUUCUAUAAAGGGUAAAUUUUCAUAAAUUUACAUAUUUGUGGUUACUGAUUAGAUCAUGUUGUUUGAGGAAGAGUAUUGGAUUAGGUUGAAAGUUAAUUAAUGGUAGUAAUUAGAGAAUGGAUUUUUCCUAGUUUUUACAGUAGUUGAGUCAGAAUUUCACGUAGGUCUUUAUGGUUUCUUAUAUGAUUCAGAACUGGCAUGAAAAACAUUUCCGUACAUUUGUGUUAUUUCUGUGUAGUAAUAUCAGCUGUUUAUCUCCAUUCGCUGUUCGUGAUUAUUCUAAAAUCAUCCUAAUUUGUGUGUCCUGGUGUCUUAUUUGUAUCUAAUUGGCUAUAUUGUAUAAUUACUUCUCAGAUGAACACAAUGAAAGGAAGAGAUUUACAGAUAAUCUGAGGACAGCUGACAUUCCUAUGGUCUUUCUUAAUUCAUAAGUCUUAACUGGGAACUACAGGUAAGAAGGUUCUGGAUCAAGAAGUUCUGUUUUAGAACAAGGCUUUGGCUAGACUCAGGAAUAUCCAGCCAUGCCUGAGAAUUAGUGAGUAAAUUUAUUCUAUAAAAAAAGAUAACUUUACCAAAGUAAAGGUGGGGAGUAUAUGUAGAAUGUAAGAGAUUAUUUAUGUCUUCUUUCAAUUGCUUUUAUUUCUAACCAAACAUUAUGAUCUAAUUAAUGUUAUAAAGAAAAUUAUUCAUUAAUUGGAAAUUUUGAAAUAAAGGAUUUUUUGCAAGUAUUUUUAUAGUGUGAUAAAGGCAGAAGUUCAUGGAAACUGGUAAAAAACAAACAAACAAACAAGGGGAACCCUCUUGCACUGUUGGUGGGAUUACAAACUGGUGCAGCCACUGUGGAAGACAGUAUGAAAGUUCCUCAAAAAGUUAAAAACGUGAUUUAGCAAUUGUAAUCAUGAGGUAUUUACCCAAAGAAUACAAAAAUAUUAAAUCAGAAGGAUCUGUACACCCCAUCCUUUAUUGCAGCAUUAUCUACAAAUAGCCAAAUUAUGGAAACACCCCAAGUAUCCAUUCACUGAUGAACAGAUAAGGAACUCCGCCAUAAAAAAUGAGAUCUUCCCACUUGCAGCGAACAAGGCCGAUGGAGCUAGAGAGUAUAAUGCUAAGCAAAAUAAGUCAGAGAAAAACAAAUGAUAUAUGAUUUCACUCAUAUGUGGGAUUUAAGAAACAAAACAAAAUAGAGGCAAAGCAAGAAAUAGACUCUUAGCUAUAGAGAACAAAUUUAUGAUUACCAGAGGCCAGGUGGUUGAGGGAGAUGGGUGAAAUAGGUGAUGGGGAUUAACAAGUACACAUGUAAUGAGAAACAGGUGAUGUAUGUAAGUGUAGCAUCACUAAAUGGCACACCUAAAACUAAUAUUUCACUAACUGGAAUUUUAAUAAAAAGUUAAAGUAUUUGGUAAAGUAAUAGCUGAAGUUGGAAUGUUGAAUCAGCUAUAGGGGAUUCAUUAAUGAGGAAUUCUUUCUAAGCAUUAAAAGAAAUUUGUAACAAAGUUCAAAAUUAGCCUCCACUUAUUUGCUGCUUUUUCUAUUUUAUAAGAAGUAUGUGUGUCUUAUCUUCCAAUGUUUCUUCUUUUUUUCCUGUCAGGAGAUGAUAAUUCUAAGAAAACACACUUUUGCCAUCUUUGUUUGUAAUUGCAAGAAUCAGUACCAUAAGACCUCUGUUGGCAAUAUUACUCAUUUGAGUAUUCGAGUAUUCGUCACCUCCCAUCUCUGGCUUUGGGAAUACUGCUUGGCAAAAUGAUUGUAAGGACAGAUAAGUGUUUAUUUUAUUCAGGGAGGGGCACUUGAUUAGACAGGAGUUAAUAUUCUGCUUUGUUUAAGAUUAAUUAAUUUUUGGUGGCAGCUAGUGGGUAAUGAGAUCCGUUUGGGGUACAUGUUGCUGAGUAAUAAAGAAUCCUGACACACAGUGGCAUAAAAUAUCUAUUGUGCCAUUUCAUGAAUUCUGUGGGUGAAGAUUUCUGACAAUGCCAGAAUAUGGGAUCAGCUGGGAAGAUACGGUGUUUAAUAUUGAUUCAAACGCUUCGAGGCUGGAGUCAUCUGGACACUUCUUCACACGUAUGUCUGGCACUUGUUUUGGGAAGACUCGGAAGGCUGGGCUUAGCUAAAUUAGAGCACCUUCACACAAUCAGUUUAACAGAGGAAGCAUCAUCAAAAUGAAUGUUCGGAGAGAACCUUGUGAAAGUGGCAUGUGGUCUUUAUGAUCCAACUUCAGAAGUCAUGUAGUAUCACUUCUGCCACAUUUUGUUGACUAACAUUUUUAUAUGACCAGCCCAAAUUCUAGUAGAUAUUCCAUCUCAUGAUGGGCGUGUGCCAAGGUUACUGGUCACCUAGAGUUACAUGUAGGACCAGAUGAAAGAAGAUAUUGUAAUUGAGAACUAUAGCUGUAUAAUUUUAGUAGUUGAUUUUUUUAAAUAAUUUUGGGAUCCAUUAACAACAGUUCUCUCAAAUCAUAUAUCUGUCUUUAUGAUCUUAAUAAAUUGAUUUUCAGAAUUUCACUUUUCAUGUACUCUGGAUUUCUUGCAGAUAUGUUUCAACAAAUAUCUUACUCUUUGCCUGACAUAGUAUUAAAUUUUAUUGAAUUGUAACUUUGGUAAUAAAUUAGGCAAAAGACAAGAAGUUCGAGAAAGAAAACAAAGUACAUGAUUUUGGGCAUUAAGUGAGUUUGAGGAGGGCAAAAGAGAGAAGAGCCCAGGUACACUAAGCUGACGUUGAGAUGUAUAACCUUAGAAGUACGAAAGUAAUGAACUAUAAAAAGAGUGAGAGGGAGCAGUUGUUAAUGAAACCAUUAAUAUUAUAGCAAAUAGUGAAUCCCAUCUCCUGAUGGACCAAGAGUUGUGUAAUUCUCUUAUUUCCUUUAUUUCCCACUAGAAAGUUAAUUCAUGUGAUACACGGCCAAGAGUAAAUGCUGACAAAUUCUUUAAACAUUCUUUUUCAGAGAGCCUUAUUGGCUACCUGCAAUAAUCCUCAGAAUGACCUAUUCUGUUAAUCCCAGAAUAACCUUAAAAGAUAAAGGCUUUUAUGAUAAAAUGUUUUUUUUUUUUCCUUAGGAUAAAACAUUGCUAAAUAGACAACUAAACUAAAUAGACAACUUCAACUUGGGUGAAGUACCUACUUAAGAAUUUUGAUAACCAGCUGGAAUAAUGGGUUAAGAUCUAAAUCUUAUUAAAUUCCAUUGUAGCCUCUGUCUUUUAUACAAUUACCUUUUUUUUUCUUACCAAAGGGACUAAGGUCCUUUUGUUAUUUUCAUUGGAUUUUUUUUUUGCACUGUUGUCAUGUUUAUUGUAGAGAAAAGCAUAUAGAUUAAAUAGUUUUUGUAUGAAUGAGCAAUCUAGAGAUAUAGGCAUCCAAAUACAUAACAGAGACACAGACAGCAUGAGAAUGUUGGGAUCAAUCCAUUUACGAAGGUGUAAGAAGAAGGAAUACCAAGAUACCAACAUCUGGCUUUUUAAAAACUGAGGUAUAGUUGACCUCAUUAGCUUCAGGUCUAUAAAUAGUGAAUAGUGAAUAGUGAUAGUGACUUGAUAAUUCUAUGCAUUAAGCAGUGCUCACCACAAUAAAUGUAGUUGCCAUCUCUAGCCUUCUUACUAGAAAAUUUCAAAAGUUAUUCUGAUGCAUCUGUUAUUUCUUCAUAAUAAAAUGGCUGUUGCAUUUCAUUGUAUAUAAUUUUAUUAGAUAUUACUGAUAAUUGCAUAAAGUAUGCUUCCUAACUUUACGCAUUUCCUAAUGUGUCCUCUCAGGUGAUGUCCAAAUAGGAAACUGAUGUUACUGCUUCUGACACCAUCUUCAAAUCCAAAAACGGUCUUUAUAACGUAUGGAGACUCCUCCUUUCAUGUGUUGGAGUAGACACUCCUCCAGAAAAACUGGACUGAGAAAGCCCUUGUUUCAAAGUUACCUAAAGAUUAUCAUUGGAGGGAAUUGUAACCAGGCAUGUUGACUGUUUUCAUUAUUGACAUUGGACUAAAUGUCGGGAGCUUGAAUGAUGGAGAUGCUAUUACACAGAGAAGCUCAGGAUGAUAUGAUUGCAAGGCUUCAUUUCAAUGUUCCCAUAAGUAUUAAGUGCACAUAUUUAUAAUUUUCACUUUUAACAGGGUAAAUUUAAAAUAGAUGCAGAAAAAUAAAUUAUCUUUUUUCCAGAUUUGAAAGGACACAGAAAGUUGUAAAGGGUAGUAUUUUUACUUUUUAAAUGCUUUUUCCUCCCUCCUAAUUCUACUCCCCAAUAUUAUCUGCUGUUAAGGAGUUUUGUGCAUAUCCUUUUGGGGCGUAUCGAUAAACAAAUUGAUAAUGCCAGUAGUCAUUUGGGCCCAUACAUUAGCUACAAAUUUUCUCUUCAGUGAACAUGCUUAUAUGUAAUCUACUUUUUAACUUCUCCAGCUAAGUUGUUGAAAUAGUCCUACUACUUCCACUUCAUUGGAAUUAAGUAUAUCCAAAAUUUAUGUUUUGACUUAAAAGUAGAGAUUUCCCCAGAAUUGUGUAAAUUAUCCUCAUCAAUAUUGUCUCCCAGUGUUUGUUUAUGAGACUUCUUUUUUCUAAAACAGUACAAACAUUGGAUGUCAAUGUUUUAAUCUUUGAUAGUGUGAUACUACAAAGAAAGUAUUUUUCUUCAGUUAUUGUUCACUUCAGUCAUCUUCAUAUGUCCUUAAACUGUACUAGUCAUUUGUUAUUCUGUGUUUUGUGUUACUUUGUUUUUUUUUGUUUUUUGUUUUUUUUCAUUUCCCUUGGAAUACUAGUGUCUUUGUUACUGGCUUUUAAAAGAUCUUUUAUGACUAACGAUUUUAACCAUUUACCAUGCUUUGCAAAUGAAAUACCAUGUUUUUUCACCAUUUUACUGUGAUAUUUUACUUUUUGGUGUACAGAAGUUGUAUAUUGAAAUAUAACAAUAUUGUGUUUCAUGCCUUUUGAGUUUUGUGUUUUUAUUUAAAA
Molecule: long non-coding RNA, 6277 nt
Filed under: Lynx pardinus (Iberian lynx)
Lineage: Eukaryota; Metazoa; Chordata; Mammalia; Carnivora; Felidae
Source: RNAcentral